Molecule: long non-coding RNA, 647 nt
Filed under: Mustela putorius furo (domestic ferret)
Lineage: Eukaryota; Metazoa; Chordata; Mammalia; Carnivora; Mustelidae
Description: lncRNA (ENSMPUG00000026621.1)
Source: RNAcentral
GGACACUGGAUGUCUUCAAGGGAAAAAAACCACCAUGGCUUCUUGGUGAUUUUAAUUUCUAAAACCAGGUGAAAGGUAUUCAGAACUAAGUCUGACAAUUAAGGCCCAGUGAUGACUUGAACUAGAGGACCAGGAAUGAGCUUGAUAAUGGAGAGUAAACAUCAGCCUCGUGGACUCUUCAAAGCCAAAUAUGAAGUCAAACUCCAGAAAGCAAGUACAUGGCACUCCCGGCUACAACAGGAAAUUCUUGACCUUCUACUGUGCUACCAAAAUUCAAGGCACCAUGAGGAGGGUCUGCCAGGACAUCUGUCAAUACGGACUCAACUCCAUUCUCUAGGCUAUUGGGAAGGUAUCCCUUCUCAUACUAAAUUUCCCAAAGCCAGAGGUCAAAGAUUCAUAUAUAACCCAGACACAGUCACAACCAACCCCAAUGGGCCUACUGUCUUGUAGAGAAACAUUACAGAAGGAUCAAUAGGAUUUCUGAAGUUUCAGAAGACAGGGUGGGACAUUUCAAUAACAGCAUGAAGAGCAGCACAUGGGCAUAUCCAGUAAUAAGUACCCACUUUGCUGGACGGAUUGCAAUACUCUUUUCGAUAGAGCAAUAGCAAGAUCUAAAGCUGUAAAUAAAAGCUGUUGUCAUAUUUAUG